GCCGGAGUGGCGGAAUUGGCAGACGCGGCGGAUUCAAAAUCCGCUGGGGUAACACCCUUGAGGGUUCGAGUCCCUCCUCCGGUA
Molecule: transfer RNA, 84 nt
Filed under: Planctomycetota bacterium
Lineage: Bacteria; Pseudomonadati; Planctomycetota
Also listed under: 1 other name
Description: tRNA-Leu
Rfam family: tRNA
About the family: Transfer RNA (tRNA) molecules are approximately 80 nucleotides in length. Their secondary structure includes four short double-helical elements and three loops (D, anti-codon, and T loops).
Source: RNAcentral